AUUAAAAUAAUUUUGACAUCAAUUUUAAAAAAUUUGGCUCUAAGAUUAGACCGAACGAACCGUUCUGAUUGAAUCGGACCCAAAAUGGACCCAAGGCCCAACUAGUCAGCCCAAGUAAUUAAAGAAGGGGCACUCUUCUUCCCUUCACUCAGCAAACACGCUGAAGCAGCACCCAUGGUGAAAGGGAAGAAGACAUAAACCUAACACCACCUUCUAUCUACCAUAAUUUCUUCAUCCAAACUCCGAUUGCCGCACCGUUUGCGGCCACACGUUUAUCGCGUUGAGCUCUACAAUUCUAUUGGAAUAAUUUUUUUAGUGUGAACUAGGUGUGUGUAUACAAGUUUUGGGAUUGAAUUGUGGAUAUUUGAAGGCUUGGUGAAGGAUUGGUGUCAAGGUCUUGGUGGUUUUGUGAAUUGUGAGACUGUAUGUAUGACUUAAGGGUUGCCUUGGACCAACACCGGAAUCGGCUAAGAUGCAGGUCGAGAGGCACCUCGCAAGGCGUCUGGAUCCUUGAAGCGGAGUAGUCCAUGGGUUCUUUUGAUUAUCAGUUUGUGUAUAUAUAUACUUAGCUUUCUCUCCAAGAAACUUGAUUAUUUUGUCCCUCAUAGAGGUUAAAGGAGAGUUAAGGUUUUAUUUAUGUAUUUUGGGUAUUUUGGGAUAUUUGUAUAUGUAUGUAAAUAUUCUUCCGCCAACCUUGGCUUCGUAGGCUGAGUCAGGGGCUAGUUAUGCUGUAUUCUUGGCUAUUUAUCCACUCU
This is a long non-coding RNA of Arachis stenosperma, 755 nucleotides long. RefSeq lists it as uncharacterized. The record is from RefSeq and is a predicted model, not a curated record. The transcript has 3 exons. NCBI's taxonomy places the organism in Eukaryota, Viridiplantae, Streptophyta, Magnoliopsida, Fabales, Fabaceae.